GAUAACCUCGGGAAACUGGGUAUAAUACCCGAUAGGUCUCGAUUGCUGGAAUGCAUCGAGAUUUAAAGCUCCGGCGCCUAAGGAUGGGUCUGCGGCCUAUCAGGUAGUAGUGGGUGUAGCGUACCUACUAGCCUACGACGGGUACGGGUUGUGAGAGCAAGAGCCCGGAGAUGGAUUCUGAGACACGAAUCCAGGCCCUACGGGGUGCAGCAGGCGCGAAAACUUUACAAUGCUGGCAACAGCGAUAAGGGAACCUCGAGUGCCAGGUUACAAAUCUGGCUGUCGAGAUGCCUAAAAAGCAUUUCAUAGCAAGGGCCGGGCAAGACCGGUGCCAGCCGCCGCGGUAACACCGGCGGCUCGAGUGGUAACCGUUAUUAUUGGGUCUAAAGGGUCUGUAGCCGGCCGGAUAAGUCUCUUGAGAAAUCUGGCAGCUUAACUGUCAGGCUUUCAGGAGAUACUGUCUGGCUCGAGGCCGGGAGAGGUGAGAGGUACUUCAGGGGUAGGGGUGAAAUCUUGUAAUCCUUGAAGGACCACCAGUGGCGAAGGCGUCUCACCAGAACGGACCUGACGGCAAGGGACGAAAGCUAGGGGCACGAACCCGGAUUAGAUACCCGGGUAGUCCUAGCCGUAAACGAUACUCGCUAGGUGUCGGCCACGGUGCGACCGUUGUCGGUGCCGUAGGGAAGCCGUGAAGCGAGCCACCUGGGAAGUACGGCCGCAAGGCUGAAACUUAAAGGAAUUGGCGGGGGAGCACCACAACGGGUGGAGCUUGCGGUUUAAUUGGAUUCAACGCCGGAAAUCUUACCGGGACCGACAGCAAUAUGAAGGCCAGGCUGAAGACUUUGCCGGAUUAGCUGAGAGGUGGUGCAU
This 870-nucleotide ribosomal RNA is filed under the name uncultured archaeon. RNAcentral describes it as "bacterial SSU rRNA". It matches the Rfam family "Archaeal small subunit ribosomal RNA", at positions 125 to 995 of the family's 1478-position model. The record is from RNAcentral.